RNAcentral lists this ribosomal RNA (63 nucleotides) under Moesziomyces aphidis. RNAcentral's name for it is "partial 28S ribosomal RNA". The record is from RNAcentral. Lineage: Eukaryota; Fungi; Basidiomycota; Ustilaginomycetes; Ustilaginales; Ustilaginaceae.
UCAUCGGCCUCAGAUUGGUAGGACUACCCGCUGAACUUAAGCAUAUCAAUAGGCCGGAGGAAA